UUCCAGACUCCUACGGGAGGCAGCAGUGGGGAAUAUUGCACAAUGGGGGGAACCCUGAUGCAGCGACGCCGCGUGGGUGAAGAAGUCAUUCGUGACGUAAAGCCCUAUCAGCAGGGAAGAAAAUGACGGUACCUGACUAAGAAGCCCCGGCUAACUACGUGCCAGCAGCCGCGGUAAUACGUAGGGGGCAAGCGUUAUCCGGAUUUACUGGGUGUAAAGGGAGCGUAGACGGCAAUGCAAGCCAGAUGUGAAAGCCCGGGGCUCAACCCCGGGACUGCAUUUGGAACUGUGUAGCUGGAGUGUCGGAGAGGCAGGCGGAAUUCCUAGUGUAGCGGUGAAAUGCGUAGAUAUUAGGAGGAACACCAGUGGCGAAGGCGGCCUGCUGGACGAUGACUGACGUUGAGGCUCGAAAGCGUGGGGAGCAAACAGGAUUAGAUACCCGUGUA
RNAcentral lists this ribosomal RNA (446 nucleotides) under uncultured bacterium. RNAcentral's name for it is "partial 16S ribosomal RNA". It matches the Rfam family "Bacterial small subunit ribosomal RNA", at positions 329 to 792 of the family's 1533-position model. The record is from RNAcentral.